AUAAAUAAUAAUUUAUUAAGAUUAAAACUUUUAUUGAGGUAUUAAUUUAAUAAUUUUAAUUUUAUAAGACUAGUUUUUUUUUUUAAAAUUUAUUGAACAUACCGGCGAAGUCAGAGUUGUGGAGGUUUGGGUGGUACUUUGUGACCACAUCGAUCAUAGCAACUAAACACACAGGGUAGUUUUUUUAUCUCCCAAUACAAGUGCACAUUUCCAAAAAUUACAUUUCAGAAUGCAUUUGAAUUUUACUGCUUCAAUGCUCGUGGCUAACAUGGUUGUCAUUAAAAUAAUUACUAGAACAACUUUACUUUCGCGGUUUGUAAUAACGGACACCAUUUCCUUCCUUUUCUCUAUUCACUUAAUUUAUUUUUUUCUAUGAUUUUCUCUACUUAAUUUAUAAACUUAAAAAUCGGAUUUUUCGAAAAAU
This 424-nucleotide long non-coding RNA is filed under the name Gossypium barbadense (sea-island cotton). RNAcentral's name for it is "long non-coding RNA (GBAR_LNC017450)". The record is from RNAcentral. Lineage: Eukaryota; Viridiplantae; Streptophyta; Magnoliopsida; Malvales; Malvaceae.